This 1538-nucleotide long non-coding RNA is filed under the name Homo sapiens (human). RNAcentral's name for it is "HSALNT0062581". Lineage: Eukaryota; Metazoa; Chordata; Mammalia; Primates; Hominidae. The record is from RNAcentral.
GUUAAGUCCUGUGAGAUCCUGUCUCCUUUGCCAUGCCACUGCAAGGUCAUAAAGUAGAUAAACUUAAGUUACAAUUCCGGUUCUCCUCAAGAUCUGAGACAUGUUAAUUGUCUUUGUUUCUUGCUCUGGUAACAUCUUCCCACUGCACGUAUUUCCCUCCUUAAAGAGUUUAAAAUGCAAGAACCUUUGGAGUUACAUUUUGGCGAGCCAGCCAGGAGGAUCUCCAGGAAAGGCAUCUCGAUCCUCACAUGGAUCGAGGCCAUCAAGGUACAAAUGGUCUUACAAAUGGAACCUCAAAUGAGCUCAACUCACGGCAUCUACCAAGGACCCCUGGAUCGACAUACUGGUCUCUGACUAGCCUAAAAAGUUCCCCUCUGGAAGACACCACAACUGCAGGGCCCCUUCUUCGCCCCUCAUCAGCAGAAAGUAGCCAGAACGACUGCCGUCCAGUUCCCAACAGCAGUUGGGGUGUCCUGUCUAGAGGGGAGACUGAGAGGAGGUUCCAGCUGGGCUUCCUGGGUCAAGUAGGGGCUCAGAAAGCUGUGAAACUCACUCCUUUCCUGCAUCAGGACUUACUUUGGUCCUGGAUGAAUAAUAUUGAAGAUAUAUGCUUAAAAUAUUCCUAACAUCAGAAUUUGUGUGUGUGUUUUCUUCCCAAGAAAGCUAUUAACAGUGAAAAUUUUGUUGUAAACUUCCCUGUGUCCUCGCUCCCUCUCUCCCUUCCGCCCUCCAAAACUAAAAGGAAUGUUAAAAACCAGUUUUUCUGUGAUCAGCAGACCUUACCUAUGCUCCCAAUUCCAAUUCCUUGUAAACACAAUUUGUAAAAUCCUGUAAGAUCCUGUCUCCCUUGCCAUGCCGCUGCAAGGUCAUAAAGUAGAUAUACCAAUAUCUCACCUUCCAAAGGUUACUGCUAUUGUUGUAUUGGGGAUUAAGUUUCAACAUGAAUUUUGAAGGGGACACCAUUAUUUUCAAACCAGAGCAAGGGGUUCAAACCUAAAGGCCAGAGGACCAGUAUGGAGGUCAUGGAGAGAGAAUGGUGAUGAGGAUAGAUGAGAAAUAGUGGCUAUAAUGAGAUAUUGGUAUAUCAAGACAUAUUUAGGUUGUAGGAUUUGGUCACUGCUUUGAUGUGAGUUGCGGCAGAGAAAGAGGAGUUAAGAAUGUAGACCAAGUACGUGGCUUGGGCAACUGAAUGAUGAUGGUAUUAUUUUCAGAGACAGGAAACACAGAAGAGAAGCAAGUUUGGGAGGAUGGGAUAGUGGGUUCAGGAGAAGAUAAUAAAUUCAGUGUUGUAAAGCUAAAAUUGAGGUGAAAUUGGAUGUCCAAUUUUAGAAAUUCAGUAGCAGGAGAUUGGGUCUAGGGCAUGGUGCUCAGGAGAUAUUUUUUCUGGAAUAUAUAUUUCAGUAAAUAUUUGGGUAUAUAUUUGAAAUAAAAUUGAAUCAGGAGUUUGUGUGAAAUGAGAAGAGGGUAUUAAGGAACAUGGACAUUUAAAGAAUGGGCAGAGAUAAAGGAGACAAUAAAGGAGGCUGAGAAAAAGUGGG